CUCACCUCAAACCACAGCUCACACCUACACUCUUUGUUCCUAGACAGAGAAGACCGAGGUGCCUCACUAACCCUGACGACCACUAUGACGGCAACAUCUCUUCGCUGCUGCCUGGACUGGCUGCCCCUCUCCCCCACACAGACUCCCUUGGGAUUCACCACGGUCCAGGGCCUAUGGAGUUAAGUGGAAGCCAUUCACAGACCAGAGCCGUCACACACUGGUCUCAUCAAGUCCAAAUUAGCAAUUUCUGAAGCAUCCACCAGUGUGAGGAGCACCGUGCCAAAGGGCUGUCCAUCUAUCUGACAGGCCCGGGUCACAUAGAGGAUGGAAAAAGAUGGAGGGAAAGGAUACUGGCAGGUUCUAAGCAAGUAAUGGGUAUGCGUACGAAGAGCAGAGGCAAUGGAGAAAGAAAUAGUGGUGCUCUAUAUCGGAGAUAAGACCGGGGAGACGCUGGCCAGAACCGAUGGCCACUGGCUCGCCUGGUUAGUCUGUGAAAUAUGACUGCAAUGGUUCACCUGCAGCCUCUGUCAAUACCCCUGCUGUCAUGUAUGUCCAUGGGAUGGCCCCAUUUAAAUGCAUGAGAGCACCUCUUGCAGCCAGCAUAAAGAAGAUUAAAGGAGACUGCAGUUUCAUUUUUUUUUAUUUUUCAGACAUUCAGUCUAAGCAACAUAAGCUCAGCAGCCCAGGGAGAAAAAGGGAGAUGGUAAAUUGUUGCUUUCAUUAAAACUUCAAGGAGUCAGUUUCAUUAUGAAGGUUCAAAGGCAAUGGAAAAUGUGUGUGGCUGCAUUCUCCCACUCUCUCUCUGUCUCACUUUCCCCUGCUUCAUCCAACUGGAUGGCUACAUGGAAUAAUGGGCAAUGUGACGACUACAUGUAAUCUUGUCCCUGGAGGGCUGGCGUAUAUGGAUGUGACUGGUCUGCUGUCAUGCUCACGGCAAGCAUAAUGAGGCAAGACAGAGCUUACUGCUGGCCUUCACACAAGCCAGUGCUUCUGCAGGGUUUACUGUGGGCUUUGCUUUUCAAGUGCUCGAGUCCUGGACUUCGAUUUCCUCCUAAUAUCCUGAAUGUUUACAGGCUAAAAAAGGGUAAUGUGUGUGUUUUCAGAGAUGGGUAAAUCAACUGUGUAGUAAUGCAUUUAAAGCUGCACUGAUCAAUAUUUUUAUAUUAACAAUGAUUCCGUUGACUAAGUGUAAUGUGAAAGGUGU
Long non-coding RNA from Thunnus maccoyii (southern bluefin tuna), 1204 nucleotides. RefSeq lists it as uncharacterized. The transcript is spliced from 3 exons. Lineage: Eukaryota; Metazoa; Chordata; Actinopteri; Scombriformes; Scombridae. The record is from RefSeq and is a predicted model, not a curated record.